RNAcentral lists this ribosomal RNA (502 nucleotides) under uncultured Glomeromycotina. RNAcentral's name for it is "partial small subunit ribosomal RNA". It matches the Rfam family "Eukaryotic small subunit ribosomal RNA", at positions 591 to 1092 of the family's 1831-position model. The record is from RNAcentral. Lineage: Eukaryota; Fungi; Glomeromycota.
CCAAUAGCGUAUAUUAAAGUUGUUGCAGUUAAAAAGCUCGUAGUUGAACUUCGGGGUUUACCCAUUGGUCAGGCUUAAUUGUCUGCACUGGUGAGAUGGAUCUCUACCUUCUGAGGAACUUUCAUGCCAUUCAUUUGGUGUGAUGGGAAAUCAGGACUGUUACUUUGAAAAAAUUAGAGUGUUUAAAGCAGACUAUCGUCUGAAUACAUUAGCAUGGAAUAAUGAAAUAGGACGGACUGAUUCUAUUUCGUUGGUUUCUAGGAUCACCGUAAUGAUUAAUAGGGAUAGUUGGGGGGAUUAGUAUUCAAUUGUCAGAGGUGAAAUUCUUGGAUUUAUUGAAGACUAACUACUGCGAAAGCAUUUGCCAAGGAUGUUUUCAUUAAUCAAGAACGAAAGUUAGGGGAUCGAAGACGAUCAGAUACCGUCGUAGUCUUAACCAUAAACUAUGCCGACUAGGGAUCGGACGAAGUUAAUUUUAUAAUGACGCGUUCGGCACCUUACG